GCUCAACCGAGGAAGUGCUUCGAAAACUGGUAAACUUGAGUGCAGAAGAGGAAAGUGGAACUCCAUGUGUAGCGGUGGAAUGCGUAGAUAUAUGGAAGAACACCAGUGGCGAAGGCGGCUUUCUGGUCUGUAACUGACGCUGAGAUUCGAAAGCAUGGGUAGCAAACAGGAUUAGAUACCCUGGUAGUCCAUGCCGUAAACGAUGAGUGCUAAGUGUUGGAGGGUUUCCGCCCUUCAGUGCUGCAGCUAACGCAUUAAGCACUCCGCCUGGGGAGUACGACCGCAAGGUUGAAACUCAAAGGAAUUGACGGGGGCCCGCACAAGCGGUGGAGCAUGUGGUUUAAUUCGAAGCAACGCGAAGAACCUUACCAGGUCUUGACAUACCAUGAAAAGCUUAGAGAUAAGUCUUUCCCUUCGGGGACAUGGAUACAGGUGGUGCAUGGUUGUCGUCAGCUCGUGUCGUGAGAUGUUAGGUUAAGUCCCGCAACGAGCGCAACCCUUAUUAUCAGUUGCCAGCAUUCAGUUGGGCACUCUGGUGAGACUGCCGGUGACAAACCGGAGGAAGGUGGGGACGACGUCAAAUCAUCAUGCCCCUUAUGACCUGGGCUACACACGUGCUACAAUGGUCGGUACAACG
This 637-nucleotide ribosomal RNA is filed under the name uncultured bacterium. RNAcentral's name for it is "bacterial SSU rRNA". It matches the Rfam family "Bacterial small subunit ribosomal RNA", at positions 607 to 1244 of the family's 1533-position model. The record is from RNAcentral.